CCUACGGGGGGCACCAGUGGGGAAUAUUGGACAAUGGGCGAAAGCCUGAUCCAGCAAUGCCGCGUGUGUGAAGAAGGUCUUCAGAUUGUAAAGCACUUUCGACGGGGACGAUGAUGACGGUAACCGGAGAAGAAGCCCCGGCUAACUUCGUGCCAGCAGCCGCGGUAAUACGAAGGGGGCUGGCGUUGUUCGGAAUUACUGGGCGUAAAGGGCGCGUAGGCGGUUUAUGCAGUCAGAUGUGAAAUCCCCGGGCUUAACCUGGGAACUGCAUUUGAGACGCAUAGACUAGAGGUCGAGAGAGGGUUGUGGAAUUCCCAGUGUAGAGGUGAAAUUCGUAGAUAUUGGGAAGAACACCGGUGGCGAAGGCGGCAACCUGGCUCGAUACUGACGCUGAGACGCGAAAGCGUGGGGAGCAAACAGGAUUAGAUACCCGUGUAGUC
Molecule: ribosomal RNA, 440 nt
Filed under: uncultured bacterium
Lineage: Bacteria
Description: bacterial SSU rRNA
Rfam family: Bacterial small subunit ribosomal RNA
Source: RNAcentral